Toxorhynchites rutilus septentrionalis is the source of this 1568-nucleotide long non-coding RNA. RefSeq lists it as uncharacterized. Lineage: Eukaryota; Metazoa; Arthropoda; Insecta; Diptera; Culicidae. The transcript has 4 exons. The record is from RefSeq and is a predicted model, not a curated record.
ACAUUGAAUGGCAUCAAUUUUUUGCGCAUUCCUAAAUUGACUUAACCGAUGAAAGCGUCAAAAUUCAAUGUCCCUUAUCACAUUGGCAUAACAAUACGAUUUGUGUCAGAUAUAUGAAUGUAUGCAAGCGAGUGUGUGAAAGUAGUUACAAUUGGUGCCAUAAUAUUUACAAACAUUGUGCACAUGAAAAAUUGAAACACUGGAAGAUGUACAUAUACAAGUGUGAUACAAACACCGGUUUAAUUGAAAUGAAGAAAAUAUAAAUACAGCUUCCAAGCAGCGAGAGAUGGAAACAGAAUCAGUAGAAAAUAAAACGAACAAUGUAACACAAUAAUGGAACAAUCGAAAGGAUGGAAUAAAAUACAACUGCGCUGCGAAUCUUCCAAAAUGUGCCUAGAAACGAUGCGAACAAACGAACCAACGAACGAAUUCUGAGGGAAACAAAUUAAACUAUCCGGCGAUCACUUACGUGUGUAACGCAUCUGCGACUGAUAGUACUUGAUAACACCACUACUGCUGCACGACUGCUGGGUUUGGCUCAAAACGAUCGUGUCUGUCAGUUGAUUGGCAUCGUCUGUUCCGCCUGCGUGUGGGUGUGUGUGUGUGUGUGCGUGUUAGUUGUUAUUAUUUGUUUUUUUUUUCGUUUAUUUCGCCGGCCGGAAAACAAGACGCGUAGUGAAGAGGGCCGCCACCGAUGCGGUUAUGCGGUGGGAAAAUUAAAAUCCACCCCACGUGUCGGUGUGUUUAAGUCAAUACGGGUCGCGAAGCAUUGGAGUGGUCCGAUGUCAGAGACACGAUGCGCAUAUUUUCGAAGGUGAUGUUUUUGUCGUUGAAAUUGAAAGAUGUAGGAGUGUAGGGGGAAUAUGUUGUAUUAUGUUUCAGUGCCAUUGGUCGGCAAAUUGGAUUUUCGUGCAUCGAUUGGCCACACCGUUUUGACCGCCGGUUUGAUAGCAACAGUAGCAGAAGCAGCAGCAGCAUUAGUAUAUUGGAAAGAAAACAAAAUAUAAUGAAACCAAAAGAGAAACCACAGAGGAAGGCAUCGAAAAGGAAGGAAGGAAGAAAAAUUGGUUAAAUUGCGCUUGAUCUGGCACUCUACGACUUUAUUCGUGUGUCCUGUUUUUUAUGAACUCAUUAGCAUCGAUGAACUGGAAGAGCACUUACGCACACCACCUUUAUCAGAUCACCUAAUCGGAGCACAAAGGCGCUCUAACAGCAAAUGAUGGACCCGAAGGAAAAUUAUAUACUACACUCAGUCCUGCUAAAUACGCCAAAAAUUAGUGUUUAGCGAUAUAUUUCAGAUGUUAUAUUCGCAAAUAUUUUUAUCGAGAAAAGGAAUCAGCACAAAACUCUGCCAUCUUGAUUUGAUCUUUAAUGAAACCACUCGGGAUGGUCUCCUGGAAACACAAUAUUGACGUAGGACUACGUCUAACCGGAAGAUAUAGGGGAUGAAAUGGAAAUCUAGGCACUGAACAAGUAGGAAAAAAUGCAAGAUUUGGAACGCUUAUAACUCGAGCAUUUCUCAAUAGAUCGCAAAGGUUUUUGCAUCAAUUGAUAGGAAAUAUAUCUAC